RNAcentral lists this ribosomal RNA (292 nucleotides) under uncultured bacterium. Its description in RNAcentral is "partial 16S ribosomal RNA". It matches the Rfam family "Bacterial small subunit ribosomal RNA", at positions 505 to 796 of the family's 1533-position model. The record is from RNAcentral.
GUGUCAGCAGCCGCGGUAAUACGUAGGGUGCGAGCGUUAAUCGGAAUUACUGGGCGUAAAGCGUGCGUAGGUGGUUCGUUGUGUCUGUGGUGAAAGCCCCGGGCUUAACCUGGGAAUGGCCAUGGAAACUGGCGAGCUGGAGUGUGGCAGAGGGGGGUGGAAUUCCGCGUGUAGCAGUGAAAUGCGUAGAGAUGCGGAGGAACACCGAUGGCGAAGGCAGCCCCCUGGGCUAACACUGACGCUGAGGCACGAAAGCGUGGGGAGCAAACAGGAUUAGAAACCCCCGUAGUCC